CGGCUCCCCACCGGCUCCUGGACAAGCCCCGCCGCCCAGCUGACGUGGCCCCCGCCUCCUGAGGGCCCAGCGCCCAGCUUCAGUUCCGGGAGUGCUCUAGGCGCGGCCACCAGCGACCCAAAGAGGAACCAGAGAAGAAAGGGGAGGGACGGGGGCGUGGAGAAGCGUCCCGCCUCUGAGAAACUGAGGCACGCCCCACCGCCAGGUGUCACGACUCCUAAACUAAGAGUCCUAACUCUCUUUUCUGCUCGCGGACCGAGAAGUCUGGUCGCACCCAACUCCUCCAGGCCCUCACCCAAGUCGGCGAAGAUUGUGCUUUGCAUCCGGGGGCUUGACUGAGGGGGAAGGGGACAAACUGACAUCCAGUCCUCGCACCAUUCCUCAAGUCGUGUGCUCUGGAGUGGAGUUGUGUCCGCUGGAGGGGAGAGAGAGAGGAAGAGAGGAAGAGAAACAUCGAUGUGAGAAACAUCCAUCCAUUGCCUCUUAUGCAUGCCGCCACCAGGACCGAACCUCAAUGGGCAUAUGCUGCGACUGGGAAUGGAACCAGCGCCCCUUAGCCUUUCAAGAGGACUCCCAACCAACUGAGCCACACAGGUUAGGGCAGGCGACAGAGUGGGGAUCUUCAGCUCUUCACCAAAUCUUUGUUCAGGACUCACUUUGCGUUGGGCCAUUUGCUGAGUGAUGUUGGGGACACAGCAGUGACCACGACAGUUCUGAAACCUACCCUCAGAGGGCUCCCAACACUUUAACAGAGUGACAGCCCAGAGGGAAGCACAGGCAGAGUGACCAGAGUUGAGAUGGUAGAUGCCUAGAAGACUGUGUAGCCCAAAGGAGCCUAGAGGAGGCGACUGCCACAGCUUUUGGGAGAUCAAGAGAGCUUCCGGAGAAAGGAAAUAAUAUGAGGCGAAACAUGAAGGAAGAACAGGAAUGAGGCAGGGCCUCUUUUCCAGGCAGAACCACAGAUCCACACCUCCAUUGAAAGGGGAGUUGUGCCUUCCCUGUUCCCCCUGUACUUUUCUCCACAUCCCACUCCAGCUGGAACUCAGCACACUCCAUGACUGCCUUCCGGAAGGCAGACCAGAGACCUGACCACAUCUGACUGGCAGAUGAGUGAGGCUGAUGGCCCAGCUCAGACACACCCCAGCUGGUUCUAUUUAUAAAACUGUGGCAGCUCUUGGGAAGAGCCCAACUUGGGACUGAGAACUCACCGGAAGAGACGCCUGAUAAUACAACAGUAACAGUGGG
Molecule: long non-coding RNA, 1245 nt
Organism: Phyllostomus hastatus (greater spear-nosed bat)
Lineage: Eukaryota; Metazoa; Chordata; Mammalia; Chiroptera; Phyllostomidae
Exons: 3
Source: RefSeq, a predicted model, not a curated record